AGAGAGUAGCUGUGGUCUCCUGCGUGCUCACCCUCUGCUCCCUUGGUCCUGCUCCAUGCUUUGGUCCUGCACUUAAAUUUUACAAGCAUACUCUCUUUCUCUUAAGAUGAAGGAGCUGAGGCUGGAGAAGUUAAGAGACCCCUGCUAGAUAGGAAGGCACGUGAGAAGUAUACUGCUCUGUCUCCUGUGGCUGAAAUCUUUCAGAGACAAGGUUCAAGAGAGCAAGCAAAACAUUGCACGACAAUGAACAGAUCAAGGUAGCCACUCCCAGUCAAGGACUGUAUGAGUUGCCCAGAGCAAGACCUUUUAGGAUAUGGUACAUAGCUGGGAGCCUGCCAACUCCUGAUUUUGUCAUUACCCUCAGAACUCCAGAAUGUAAGCUCCAUGAAGGUAGGUUUUUAAACAGUUUUGUUUUUCUGUUUUGCUCACUGCUG
This 434-nucleotide long non-coding RNA is filed under the name Homo sapiens (human). RNAcentral's name for it is "non-protein coding HDAC2-AS2:100". Lineage: Eukaryota; Metazoa; Chordata; Mammalia; Primates; Hominidae. The record is from RNAcentral.